RNAcentral lists this long non-coding RNA (1072 nucleotides) under Capra hircus (goat). Its description in RNAcentral is "lncRNA (ENSCHIG00010011295.1)". Lineage: Eukaryota; Metazoa; Chordata; Mammalia; Artiodactyla; Bovidae. The record is from RNAcentral.
ACAUAAAUAGAGCAGCUUAAAUGGUACAAAUGUAUUUCUUUACAGUUCUGUAAGUCCUGGUUGGUCUGACUGGGCUGAAAUCAAGGCCAGAGGAACACUGGCCCUCCCUGGACGCUUUAGAGAAGACCUUCAGUCACCUUUCCCAGCUUGUGAAGGCAGCACAUGCUCCCUGGCUCCUGGUCUCCUUCCUCCAUCUUCAAACCACCAAUGACCUCUCUGGCCCUCUUUCCAUCAUCACAUCUCUCUCUGAUCACAGUCAGGAAGUGUUCCCUGAUUUUAAGGACCAAUGAGUAGGCCAAGCCCACCUGCAUGAUCCCUGCUAACCUCCCCACGUCAAAGUGCUUAAUCUAAUAACAUUUGCAAAAUCCUUUUUUUUUUUUUCCACAUAAGGUAGCACAUUCACAGGUUAGGGAUCAAACACAAACAUCUUUGGUGGGGGGCAUUGUUCUGCCUCCCUCAAUAUAUUCAAGGGAGGCCUUCAGGAAAGUCUUUUUCUUUCUUUUUUUGCUGCCAAGGAUGAGGCGUUGGGGGGGUGGGGAGGCGGUAAAUCUAAAGCCUCAAAGUGAUUCUAAAAAACACACAGUCUACAGGAGCUCAUUCGGCUAAAUAUCUCACUUUGCUGACAAAGAAACAUUGUCCAGACAGGGGUGUGACUUGCUCAAGGUCACAGGAUUAUAGAGGAGUGGCUGCUGUGGGCUCCAACCCUCCUGGCUCACAGCCAACUCUCUUUGCACCCUCCACGUGGACCUUCUGGAUUCAUAUUGCAAAGAAGCAUUUUAAAAUAAAAAUAAAACCACUGAUGGGAAGCUUUGUUCUACUUGGAAGAAGUGUUUUGAAUGAGAAGAGAAAUUUGUUAAAAAGUUUGUAACGAAAUGUCAAGAUGGUUUGCCAUUUUACAAAAAUAUCAUUUUUAAUCCCAAGUGACAAAACUACUCUGUUGCUAAAGAGAGAUGAUAUUUAAAUAAAGGUCAAAUAAAAUCAGGGGGCGAAUACAACACAUGAUGUAUUAGAAUAUUUAGGAUAAAUUCAGAGAAUCUGUGGGGACCUUGACAAUUUUACCAAUCUCUUUUCU